This 1215-nucleotide ribosomal RNA is filed under the name Sticta limbata. RNAcentral describes it as "eukaryotic LSU rRNA". It matches the Rfam family "Eukaryotic large subunit ribosomal RNA", at positions 87 to 1319 of the family's 3401-position model. The record is from RNAcentral. Lineage: Eukaryota; Fungi; Ascomycota; Lecanoromycetes; Peltigerales; Lobariaceae.
CGGCGAGUGAAGCGGCAACAGCUCAAAUUUGAAAUCUGGCUCCUUCGGGGUCCGAGUUGUAAUUUGUAGAGGGUGUUUCGGGUGCGAUGCCGGUCUAAGUUCCUUGGAACAGGACGUCGUAGAGGGUGAGAAUCCCGUAUGCGACCGGCGAUCAAGCCCGUGCGAAGCCCCUUCGACGAGUCGAGUUGUUUGGGAAUGCAGCUCAAAAUGGGUGGUAAAUUUCAUCUAAAGCUAAAUACUGGCCAGAGACCGAUAGCGGACAAGUAGAGUGAUCGAAAGAUGAAAAGCACUUUGGAAAGAGAGUCAAACAGUACGUGAAAUUGUUGAAAGGGAAGCGCUUGCAAUCAGACCGGUCCGGAGGCGAUCAGCCGCUGCUCGUCAGCGGUGCACUCGCCUGCGAUCCGGCCAGCAUCGGUUUGGGCGGCGGGAUAAAAGUCCCGGGAAUGUAGCUUCCUCCGGGGAGUCUUAUAGCCCGGGUCGCAAUGCCGCCCGCCCGGACCGAGGACCGCGCUUCGGCUAGGAUGCUGGCGUAAUGGUUGCAAGCGACCCGUCUUGAAACACGGACCAAGGAGUCUAACAUCUAUGCGAGUGUUUGGGUGUCAAACCCAGGCGCGGAAUGAAAGUGAACGGAGGUGGGAACCCGUCAGACGGCGCACCAUCGACCGAUCCAGAUGUCUUCGGAUGGAUUUGAGUAUGAGCAUAGCUGUUGGGACCCGAAAGAUGGUGAACUAUGCCCGGAUAGGGUGAAGCCAGAGGAAACUCUGGUGGAGGCUCGCAGCGGUUCUGACGUGCAAAUCGAUCGUCAAAUCUAGGCAUAGGGGCGAAAGACCAAUCGAACCAUCUAGUAGCUGGUUCCUGUCGAAGUUUCCCUCAGGAUAGCAGUAACGUUUUCAGUUUUAUGAGGUAAAGCGAAUGAUUAGAGGCCUUGGGGCUGAAACAGCCUUAACCUAUUCUCAAACUUUAAAUAUGUAAGAAGUCCUUGUUACUUAGUUGAACGUGGACAUUUGAAUGCACCGUUACUAGUGGGCCAUUUUUGGUAAGCAGAACUGGCGAUGCGGGAUGAACCGAACGCGAGGUUAAGGUGCCGGAAUGCACGCUCAUCAGACACCACAAAAAGUGUCAAUUCAUCCAGACAGCCGGACGGUGGCCAUGGAAGUCGGAAUCCGCUAAGGAGUGUGUAACAACUCACCGGCCGAAUGAAUUGGCCUUGAAAAU